UCCACAGGCGCCGCCUCCCUGCCCCCCGGCCGGUUAAAUCGCCACUCGGGUAACAGGCCUUCGUGGGGACCCUGCAGACGCCCUUCAACACUCGAGACUACUCCCCGGGCCCCUUUCCCCCAACCCUCACCCGGACCGCGGACACAGACACACAGAUACACACACAUAAACUACUCCAUGAGAGCAGAAACCACAUCUGUCUGUUCUGUUCAAACUAAGCUCUAUUUCUAGUGCCUACAAGAAGAGUUCAGUACAAGUUUGCUGAGUGAAUGAAUGAACACGGGUUUCCUGCCUCCUGGGCUCCAGCUCUCCGAAUAAAACCACAGCUUUCUCCCUUCAUGUCUUACCAGGAACCCAGAGAGAGGCUAAGAAGAUACGAAAGUGAAAUCUGCUCAGCAACCAGGAAAGCCUCAUGUGAGUGGCAGGAACUCCGUGGCCUUCUGGCACAAACAUCCAAAAUUGGGUUCCAGUCAGCUGGUGCAGGAAGAAGAGGAUCUCUCAAGAGGGCCUGUGGCUUGUCCCCACCAUCUGGGGUAUGUCUUCAGAGGAAAGAUAAUACAUAUGGUGGACCUGUGGGGAGAGCUGCUGGGUCUCUGUUUUCUGAUACAUAAGCUAAGACCUCCCAUGUGGCAAAGGAUGUCUGUCAACCACCAAGAAUGCCUGGGAGGUGUAGUUAAGAUGCCAAAGAGUUGGGUUUUCUGGAACAUGGCAGACAUUUCUGGGGCCAGCAAACCACCUAACUCCAGGGAGGAAAAAUACACAGUCUGAAAAAGCAAGUGGUCUCUGUCCUCAUUUGGGAAGCAGAGUGAAUACCAGAAGAAGGGGGUGA
This is a long non-coding RNA of Camelus dromedarius (Arabian camel), 829 nucleotides long. RefSeq lists it as uncharacterized. Lineage: Eukaryota; Metazoa; Chordata; Mammalia; Artiodactyla; Camelidae. The transcript is spliced from 3 exons. The record is from RefSeq and is a predicted model, not a curated record.